RNAcentral lists this ribosomal RNA (377 nucleotides) under uncultured bacterium. RNAcentral describes it as "bacterial SSU rRNA". It matches the Rfam family "Bacterial small subunit ribosomal RNA", at positions 523 to 898 of the family's 1533-position model. The record is from RNAcentral.
AUACGUAGGGGGCGAGCGUUGUCCGGAAUUACUGGGCGUAAAGGGUGCGUAGGCGGCCAAUUAAGUCAGAUGUGAAAUACCAGGGCUCAACCCUGGGGGUGCAUAUGAAACUGGUUGGCUUGAGUGCAGGAGAGGAAAGUGGAAUUCCUAGUGUAGCGGUGAAAUGCGUAGAGAUUAGGAGGAACACCAGUGGCGAAGGCGACUUUCUGGACUGUAACUGACGCUGAGGCACGAAAGCGUGGGUAGCGAACAGGAUUAGAUACCCUGGUAGUCCACGCCGUAAACGAUGGAUACUAGGUGUAGGGGGUAUCGACCCCCCCUGUGCCGGAGUUAACGCAAUAAGUAUCCCGCCUGGGGAGUACGGCCGCAAGGCUGAA